CGUAGGUGAACCUGCGGAAGGAUCAUUAUAGAAUUCCAAUUGGGUCAGGUUGUGCUGGCUGAAAAGCAAGUGCACGCCUGCUCAUAAGCAUUCAAACCUCUGUGCACCUUUCAUGGAAUAGCUUGUGGAUUGGGUGACCUAUGUUGCUUGAUUUACAGCUGCUCUGUGUUUUUAUAAACUUCUUAAUCAGUUCAGAAUGUCUAUUGUGUUAAUACACAUCUUUAUACAACUUUCAGCAACGGAUCUCUUGGCUCUCGCAUCGAUGAAGAACGCAGCGAAAUGCGAUAAGUAAUGUGAAUUGCAGAAUUCAGUGAAUCAUCGAAUCUUUGAACGCACCUUGCGCUCCUUGGUAUUCCGAGGAGCAUGCCUGUUUGAGUGUCAUGGUAUUCUCAAUUCUUCAGGUCUUUUUGUGAAACUCCCAUGAUAUUGGACUUGGAGGUUUAUUGCUGGCAUCUUGCAGGUGCCUGCUCCUCCUCAAAUGCAUCAGUAUGAAUGUUCACUUCAUGCUCAGUGUGAUAAUUAUCUGCACUGUGUCUGAGUGUUAUGGAUUCAUGCUUCCAACUGUCGUCAAGACAAUUCAUU
This 582-nucleotide ribosomal RNA is filed under the name uncultured fungus. RNAcentral's name for it is "eukaryotic LSU rRNA". The stretch from base 228 to 381 matches the Rfam family "5.8S ribosomal RNA". The record is from RNAcentral. Lineage: Eukaryota; Fungi.